This is a long non-coding RNA of Bombus pyrosoma, 537 nucleotides long. RefSeq lists it as uncharacterized. The transcript is spliced from 3 exons. The record is from RefSeq and is a predicted model, not a curated record. Lineage: Eukaryota; Metazoa; Arthropoda; Insecta; Hymenoptera; Apidae.
UGAUCGCAAAUAUCGAAUACAAUAUCAGUUGGUAACGUGGGUAGUCGUGUGCAGAAUGUUUGAUGAUGCGUAAUUAUAUUGAAGCACUUUAUCGCGUAAUCAGGUUACAUGUUAGGGUAGUAUUACAUGCCAGGAAUAGAGCAUUAAAAUAAUAAAGUACCCUUAAAUGUACAUGUCAUUGAUAGGAAAGGAUAUCUUGAUUCCUAAGUUUAUGAUCGCUCAGUGGAUAAAAGCUAUCGGAGAAAAAAGAUAUAGAGAGAAAACGCUACAAGGAUAUUUUUCCAAACGAUCAGUUGUAUAUGUUGCGGCACUGCAGAUGCCUUCUUAAGAUCUUCAACAUACUGGAGAAAGGUGUCAUCGUCACGAUGACCCACCACGCCUGAUGAGUUUCACCAAAGCACGAUGAUCUCAGUGCGGGAAAAAUACGAUCAAAAUAUUUAUGAUUUUGUUGUUGUAAGUGCCAAAAGUCGCAAAGGCUCUCUUUUAUAUAAUUCAUUCAUUUUAUACUAUAUGUGUAUAUCAAAUACAUAGUUUCGA